UACGUAGGUGGCAAGCGUUGUCCGGAAUUAUUGGGCGUAAAGAGCGUGUAGGCGGCCAGAUAAGUCCGCUGUGAAAUCUCGAGGCUCAACUUCGAGCUGUCGGUGGAAACUAUCUGGCUAGAGUCCGGAAGAGGAGAAUGGAAUUCCUGGUGUAGCGGUGAAAUGCGCAGAUAUCAGGAAGAACACCCGUGGCGAAGGCGGUUCUCUGGGACGGUACUGACGCUGAGACGCGAAAGCGUGGGGAGCGAACAGG
Molecule: ribosomal RNA, 253 nt
Filed under: uncultured bacterium
Lineage: Bacteria
Description: partial 16S ribosomal RNA
Rfam family: Bacterial small subunit ribosomal RNA
Source: RNAcentral